CUCGAGGCCUGGAGUUCGACACCUGUGUCUUAGAGGAAGUGGAGAAAAGAGGUGACUGGAGAGGCUGGUGCUGAGAGACAUUAUCAGCAUAGUUUAGUUUAUGGUGGUGGAUGAUCUGACCUAGUGGAAGCAUGUAAAUACUCUCAAAGAGUAUUCACAAAUACUCUUUGGUUGACUGGAGCAGAGGAGGAACAUGAGUAUCUGCAGCUGCCACUAGAUGGCGAUCUCACCUCAUCUCUCUGGCUCUGCUGCAGGAGGCGCAGCACACUAAUAGUAACACACUGGCUGCAAAUGUCUACGUGUUGUUCGUGGAAAAUAACGAGGAGGAGCUGGAACAGAAGCUAAAAUCAGAAGGAUACGAGACAGAAGAAUGUACAAUAUACCUGAAAAUGCCAGUAUAGUGAUCAUCAUAAUUAAAAGUGUGGAAAAGAUGGAUGGAUGCCAGCUCCUUAUUCACAAAUAUUUAAAGU
This is a long non-coding RNA of Oreochromis niloticus (Nile tilapia), 470 nucleotides long. RefSeq lists it as uncharacterized. NCBI's taxonomy places the organism in Eukaryota, Metazoa, Chordata, Actinopteri, Cichliformes, Cichlidae. The record is from RefSeq and is a predicted model, not a curated record. The transcript has 3 exons.